CCUACGGGGGGCAGCAGUGAGGAAUAUUGGUCAAUGGACGCAAGACUGAACCAGCCAUGCCGCGUGCAGGAUGACGGCUCUAUGAGUUGUAAACUGCUUUUGUACGAGGGUAAACUCAGAUACGCGUAUCUGUCUGAAAGUAUCGUACGAAUAAGGAUCGGCUAACUCCGUGCCAGCAGCCGCGGUAAUACGGAGGAUUCAAGCGUUAUCCGGAUUUAUUGGGUUUAAAGGGUGCGUAGGCGGUCGGAUAAGUUAGAGGUGAAAUUCCGAGGCUCAACUUUGGAAUUGCGUCGGAUACUGUUCGGCUAGAGAGUAGUUGAGGUAGGCGGAAUGUAUGGUGUAGCGGUGAAAUGCUUAGAGAUC
RNAcentral lists this ribosomal RNA (363 nucleotides) under uncultured bacterium. RNAcentral's name for it is "partial 16S ribosomal RNA". It matches the Rfam family "Bacterial small subunit ribosomal RNA", at positions 338 to 698 of the family's 1533-position model. The record is from RNAcentral.